UCAGAACGAACGCUGGCAGCGUGGAUGAGGCAUGCAAGUCGAACGGUCAAGGGCUGGUAGCAAUAUUGGCUCUUGAUAGUGGCGGAAGGGCGAGUAAUGCGAAAGCAAGCUACCCCGAGAUUCGGGACAACGGCUGGAAACGGCCGCUAAUACCGGAUACGAACCCGGAGCCGCAUGGCAUCGGGUUGAAAGGCCGGGACCUUCGGGCCGGUCGUCUUGGGAGGCGCUUUCGUGCCAUCGGCUAGUUGGUGGGGUAACGGCCCACCAAGGCUUACGGCUAGGUGGACUGAGAGGUUGGUCACCCGCACUGGGACUGAAGACACUGCCCAGACUCCUACGGGAGGCUGCAGUCGAGGAUCAUUUGCAAUGGGCGAAAGCCUGACAAUGCGACGCUGCCGUGCAGGAUGAAGGUCUUCGGAUUGUAAACUGCUGUCAAGGGGGAAAAGGACGGGACCCCGAACAAGGGUCCUUGUUUGAUUGUACUCCUAGAGGAAGUGACGGCUAACUCUGUGCCAGCCGCCGC
This 523-nucleotide ribosomal RNA is filed under the name uncultured bacterium. RNAcentral's name for it is "bacterial SSU rRNA". It matches the Rfam family "Bacterial small subunit ribosomal RNA", at positions 24 to 518 of the family's 1533-position model. The record is from RNAcentral.